This 253-nucleotide ribosomal RNA is filed under the name uncultured bacterium. RNAcentral describes it as "partial 16S ribosomal RNA". It matches the Rfam family "Bacterial small subunit ribosomal RNA", at positions 524 to 776 of the family's 1533-position model. The record is from RNAcentral.
UACGGAGGGUGCAAGCGUUAUCCGGAUUCACUGGGUUUAAAGGGUGCGUAGGUGGGGAUGUAAGUCAGUGGUGAAAUCUCCGUGCUUAACAUGGAAACUGCCAUUGAUACUAUGUUUCUUGAAUUUUCUGGAGGUCAGCGGAAUAUGUCAUGUAGCGGUGAAAUGCUUAGAUAUGACAUAGAACACCAAUUGCGAAGGCAGCUGGCUACAGGGAUAUUGACACUGAGGCACGAAAGCGUGGGGAGCGAACAGG